CUUAAAUUGAAGAGUUUGAUCAUGGCUCAGAUUGAACGCUGGCGGCAGGCCUAACACAUGCAAGUCGAGCGGAAACGAGUUAUCU
This 85-nucleotide ribosomal RNA is filed under the name Vibrio parahaemolyticus. RNAcentral's name for it is "partial 16S ribosomal RNA". It matches the Rfam family "Bacterial small subunit ribosomal RNA", at positions 1 to 82 of the family's 1533-position model. Lineage: Bacteria; Pseudomonadati; Pseudomonadota; Gammaproteobacteria; Vibrionales; Vibrionaceae. The record is from RNAcentral.